AUGGGGGGAAAACCUUUGUGUGGAAUGAGGUUUGAUCCAAGAUCUCUUUCCAUAUGUGGAUCAUGUGAACUUGCACCUUUGCAUGUUGGCAAACCCUCUUCUAUGAAUAGAUCUCGGACCAGGCUUCAUUCCCCACACUGGUUUUCCACAAUAAAUUGAAACCCCAU
RNAcentral lists this microRNA precursor (167 nucleotides) under Amborella trichopoda. Its description in RNAcentral is "miR166b stem-loop (atr-MIR166b)". Its record names the gene atr-MIR166b. The stretch from base 15 to 139 matches the Rfam family "mir-166 microRNA precursor family". Rfam says of the family: This family represents the plant microRNA (miRNA) precursor mir-166. Animal miRNAs are transcribed as ~70nt precursors and subsequently processed by the Dicer enzyme to give a ~22nt product. The record is from miRBase by way of RNAcentral. Lineage: Eukaryota; Viridiplantae; Streptophyta; Magnoliopsida; Amborellales; Amborellaceae.